AUAGGUUGGAAUUCCCUCAAGCUGUAUAUGACCGACUUCAAAAUUGUUUGACAUAUUAAACUUGUGACAACAUAAGUGAUUCGCAUUUUAAUUUCUCCUUGUGUCGUCCUUGUUGUUUAUGAGAUCUCACUUCUUGUUUGUUGUGAAUUUGCAGAUAUCCAGUGAUGAAGCUAUUGAAACUACAAAACAAGUGGCACUCUAGGAAGGAUUGUUGGCUAAUUGGCAUAUUUUCCGGUGUGGCUGUAGCUGUUGCAAUGAAGGUCGGAAAGAGACCUGAAAAUGCUGGGAAGCGCAUUGCAGUUGUGUUUCCUGGCCUUGGAGAAUGAUUUCUCUUAACCGUUCUUUUCCAGUUGAUCUGAGAAGAAUGCGAGAAAAUGCAGCCUGAAGCAUCAAAUUUCUCUAUUCGAGUUCAUAGAAUUUCUCCAUCUUGUUAUAUGUACCAUUUCAAGGAUUUUUUUUUUUUAAAUCAAAACUCCAUUCAUGACUGGCUUUUCCUUGUCUAAUAAGGAAUUAAGGAAAUAUCCUGUAACUGAAAUCCUGUUAUAUGGAGUCUGUGAUUGCAUUAUUCAUAAGGAAUAAAUCAUAG
Molecule: long non-coding RNA, 586 nt
Organism: Mangifera indica (mango)
Lineage: Eukaryota; Viridiplantae; Streptophyta; Magnoliopsida; Sapindales; Anacardiaceae
Exons: 3
Source: RefSeq, a predicted model, not a curated record